UAUUAUUAAAUUAAUUUAUUCUUAUUAUUAUCGUUCAAAAUUACACGUGUAAUUUUAGCUAUACUACAAUAAUAAUAAUGUACAAUAAGUCAGAUACCUUUGGAAAAAUAAUAAUAAUAACCUCAAUAAUUUGGAAGAAACGAAAUCAUACUCCAGAUGCAGGGCACCAUGAGCAUUCAGCGGUACAUCAUCGUGUCAUCAGGGCGGCUUUCGUAGCCGCUGGCCUGAAUUCCGACACUAACACCGAUCCGCGAGAGCUGAAAGCGUUUGCAAUCGCCAUCAUAACCGAAAUGCUGAUUUAUAGUGUAACACCAGUUCGACGGAAUGUCUUUUCCAGACUCUUUACGAAAAGACUCAAGGAACAACUGAUUUAUGGGUUUUGGCUAUUGAUGCUAUCUCGGCUAUAGUGCAGUAGCACUAUCGGAGGCGACAGAAAUAGCAACGAGAAGCGGCAGUGGCAUCGAGUGGCAAUCUUACUGUCCGCAGUCUCAGCGACAAUAAGAAGCGACGGAGAUCGAAGAAGUAGCAGCCUGUGCAGCCAGCACCGGCCACGUGUAGCGCAACAAGCUACUCUCGGAAAGUGAGCCGACAGCGCUUCUAAGAGCGCCCACCGAUAGCAGCGAUUUUUUUCAUUCUUGCACUACGCUGCAUAAAAUUUAAUUAAUUAAUUAAUUAAUUUAAUUAAAAUAUAAAAUUGUA
Drosophila nasuta is the source of this 699-nucleotide RNA transcript. RefSeq lists it as uncharacterized. The transcript has 2 exons. Lineage: Eukaryota; Metazoa; Arthropoda; Insecta; Diptera; Drosophilidae. The record is from RefSeq and is a predicted model, not a curated record.